Molecule: long non-coding RNA, 713 nt
Filed under: Physcomitrium patens
Lineage: Eukaryota; Viridiplantae; Streptophyta; Bryopsida; Funariales; Funariaceae
Description: long non-coding RNA (PPAT_LNC004423)
Source: RNAcentral
GAACUUCUAGUACAGGGAUUGAAUCCCUCCGCCGCCACGCCUACCUUCGCAGGAAGGAAACCGCCAACGCCGUUCAGAAGCAGAUUUCUCUCUCACACGUCUACAAAUGCAAUGGUUUUGUUUCCCCUUGCUUUGUUUUUUUUCUCCCCACCUUAGGAUAAUAUUCCCACUUUCGUGGUGUUGUACAGAAGGCUGCGAGCUACAGUGGCCGCCGCAGCAGCACUAUCACCAACAGAAGAAGAACGUGUGACCAGCAACAUUCUCUCAAUCUUCCAACGAUCUGAGAUUUAGUCAAACCUGCACGUCACUCAGAACUGUUCCUCGUUGCCUGCCAAUUAAGCGUACCAUCCCUCCCAUCGCUUUGGUAGGUAAUUGCAAUGGAAUCAAUCACCCAACUCUGACACACAGAAUUGGAGACAUCGCAGGCUUGCCGCUCAACAUUCUCCGUAUCCAACGAACACGAAAGCCACAAGAGUGAUUUUCAAAUUAGGGUUUAAGAAAGGAAUUGUAUUAAUUUAGCGUCAUGAUGUGGUAAACUGAAAUCGGGUAAAACCACAACAUUUCAGCACAGAACCCUAAACUGGGUAACCACCAAAUGUCUUGAUUGCUAUCCACUACACUAGCAAGGUCAAUACAUAGGAACCCACUGAUCACUUACUGUGGAGCUGAAGAUGGAAUGUAAGCGGUGAACUUUGAGUCGGUCUAGUAUUCAA